Molecule: ribosomal RNA, 468 nt
Filed under: uncultured bacterium
Lineage: Bacteria
Description: partial 16S ribosomal RNA
Rfam family: Bacterial small subunit ribosomal RNA
Source: RNAcentral
GACGAACGCUGGCGGUGUGCUUAACACAUGCAAGUCGAACGGUAAGGCCCUUUCGGGGGUCCACGAGUGGCGAACGGGUGAGUAACACGUGAGUAACCUGCCCUCAUCUCUGGGAUAACAGUCGGAAACGGUUGCUAAUACUGGAUAUGAGCUUGCAAGGCAUCUUGUGGGUUGGAAAGAUUUUUUUGGGUUGGGGAUGGACUCGCGGCCUAUCAGCUUGUUGGUGAGGUAGUGGCUCACCAAGGCUUCGACGGGUAGCCGGCCUGAGAGGGCGACCGGCCACAUUGGGACUGAGAUACGGCCCAAACUCCGACGGGAGGCAGCAGUGGGGAAUAUUGCACAAUGGACGGAAGUCUGAUGCAGCAACGCCGCGUGCGGGAUGACGGCCUUCGGGUUGUAAACCGCUUUCAAUUGUGACGAAGCUUUUUUGUGACGGUAGCAGUAGAAGAAGCACCGGCUAACUACGUG